Molecule: ribosomal RNA, 469 nt
Filed under: uncultured bacterium
Lineage: Bacteria
Description: partial 16S ribosomal RNA
Rfam family: Bacterial small subunit ribosomal RNA
Source: RNAcentral
ACGAACGCUGGCCGCGUGCUUAACACCUGCCAGUCGAACGGUGAACGAGGGAGCUUGCUCCCUCCGGAUCAGUGGCGAACGGGUGAGUAACACGUGAGCAAUCUGCCCCGAACUCUGGGAUAAGCGUUGGAAACGACGUCUAAUACCGGAUACGACGCGGGAGGGCAUCCUCUCCGCGUGGAAAGAACUUCGGUUCGGGAUGAGCUCGCGGCCUAUCAGCUUGUUGGUGGGGUAACGGCUCACCAAGGCGACGACGGGUAGCCGGCCUGAGAGGGUGACCGGCCACACUGGGACUGAGACACGGCCCAGACUCCUACGGGAGGCAGCAGUGGGGAAUAUUGCACAAUGGGCGCAAGCCUGAUGCAGCAACGCCGCGUGCGGGACGACGGCCUUCGGGUUGUAAACCGCUUUUAGCAGGGAAGAAGCGAGAGUGACGGUACCUGCAGAAAAAGCACCGGCUAACUACGUG